CCUACGGGAGGCUGCAGUGGGGAAUAUUGGACAAUGGGGGCAACCCUGAUCCAGCCAUGCCGCGUGUGUGAAGAAGGCCCUCGGGUUGUAAAGCACUUUCAGUGAGGAAGAACGCCUGGUGGUUAAUACCCAUCAGGAAAGACAUCACUCACAGAAGAAGCACCGGCUAACUCCGUGCCAGCAGCCGCGGUAAUACGGAGGGUGCGAGCGUUAAUCGGAAUUACUGGGCGUAAAGCGCGCGUAGGUGGCUUGAUAAGCCGGUUGUGAAAGCCCCGGGCUCAACCUGGGAACGGCAUCCGGAACUGUCAAGCUAGAGUGCAGGAGAGGAAGGUAGAAUUCCCGGUGUAGCGGUGAAAUGCGUAGAGAUCGGGUGGAAUACCAGUGGCGAAGGCGGCCUUCUGGACUGACACUGACACUGAGGUGCGAAAGCGUGGGUAGCAAACAGGAUUAGAUACCCUAGUAGUC
This 465-nucleotide ribosomal RNA is filed under the name Vreelandella stevensii. RNAcentral's name for it is "partial 16S ribosomal RNA". It matches the Rfam family "Bacterial small subunit ribosomal RNA", at positions 338 to 795 of the family's 1533-position model. Lineage: Bacteria; Pseudomonadati; Pseudomonadota; Gammaproteobacteria; Oceanospirillales; Halomonadaceae. The record is from RNAcentral.